GAUGAACGCUGGCGGCGUGCCUAAUACAUGCAAGUCGAGCGAACAGACGAGGAGCUUGCUCCUCUGACGUUAGCGGCGGACGGGUGAGUAACACGUGGAUAACCUACCUAUAAGACUGGGAUAACUUCGGGAAACCGGAGCUAAUACCGGAUAAUAUAUUGAACCGCAUGGUUCAAUAGUGAAAGACGGUUUUGCUGUCACUUAUAGAUGGAUCCGCGCCGCAUUAGCUAGUUGGUAAGGUAACGGCUUACCAAGGCAACGAUGCGUAGCCGACCUGAGAGGGUGAUCGGCCCCCCUGGAACUGAGACACGGUCCAGACUCCUACGGGAGGCAGCAGUAGGGAAUCUUCCGCAAUGGGCGAAAGCUUGACGGAGCAACGCCGCGUGAGUGAUGAAGGUCUUCGGAUCGUAAAACUCUGUUAUUAGGGAAGAACAAAUGUGUAAGUAACUAUGCACUUCUUGACGGUACCUAAUCAGAAAGCCACGGCUAACUACGGG
RNAcentral lists this ribosomal RNA (497 nucleotides) under uncultured bacterium. RNAcentral describes it as "partial 16S ribosomal RNA". It matches the Rfam family "Bacterial small subunit ribosomal RNA", at positions 28 to 507 of the family's 1533-position model. The record is from RNAcentral.